Molecule: ribosomal RNA, 345 nt
Filed under: uncultured bacterium
Lineage: Bacteria
Description: bacterial SSU rRNA
Rfam family: Bacterial small subunit ribosomal RNA
Source: RNAcentral
GACGUGACUUCUAGAGUUUGAUCCUGGCUCAGGAUGAACGCUGGCGGCGUGCUUAACACAUGCAAGUCGAACGGACUUUUGAUGAAGCCUAGCGAUUCAAAAGUUAGUGGCGGACGGGUGAGUAACGCGUGGGUAACCUGCCUUAUACAGGGGGAUAACACUUAGAAAUAGGUGCUAAUACCGCAUAAGCGCACAGUAUCGCAUGAUACAGUGUGAAAAACUCCGGUGGUAUAAGAUGGACCCGCGUCUGAUUAGCUAGUUGGUGAGGUAACGGCUCACCAAGGCGACGAUCAGUAGCCGGCCUGAGAGGGUGAACGGCCACAUUGGGACUGAGACACGGCCCAA